This 319-nucleotide long non-coding RNA is filed under the name Phasianus colchicus (ring-necked pheasant). RNAcentral describes it as "lncRNA (ENSPCLG00000001136.1)". Lineage: Eukaryota; Metazoa; Chordata; Aves; Galliformes; Phasianidae. The record is from RNAcentral.
UUCAGUCAUCACACAGAGAGAGAUGUAGUUAUCACGGCUUCAUAGCUUGAACCAGAGAAGGACUAUCUGCUGAGAAGUAUCACUUCUGAAUAGUUAUUUUGCAGUUCCAUCAUUGCUAGAGGAAAGUAAUUGCACACUUGACAGAACAGACUUUCUCGACUGCUUUAGAUGUAAGACUUAGACACACCAAAAAUGGAGACGAUUUCCAGCAAGGUUUAAUUGAUGGACAGAGCCAUUAAAGGCUGAAGAAGCAAGAAUUAAAAAUGAAACAAACCUUAAUGCAGACUGCUGGGAUGCACUGUAAUGGAUAGAAAUCAAG